This 6711-nucleotide long non-coding RNA is filed under the name Homo sapiens (human). RNAcentral's name for it is "HSALNT0323663". The record is from RNAcentral. Lineage: Eukaryota; Metazoa; Chordata; Mammalia; Primates; Hominidae.
AAUUAAUAUGUAUAGUUCAUAUAUUAAGACUAAUGAAUAUUAAAUUUCAAAAGUAGGAUCUUGUACAAGUCACUGUCUUUGUCUAGAAUUUAAUAUACAAAGAAGCUAAUAAGUAUUUUCAAAUAGAAGUUUUGAAAUUUGAAAUGUGUCCUCAUCUGAAAUUACAUAUUAUCAGGAAAAAAAACAAAUGAGAAUAUUGCUUAUCAAAAUUUAUGGUAUGAGGUUAAAUCUAUAAGUAUAAGCAAAUUAACAGCCUGAAAUAUUUUGAAUAUUAAACAGGAAAGAAUGAAAUAAAUCAGCUAAUUAUUUAACUCAAGGAGUUCUAAUACAUACAGCUAAGGGAAACUAGCAAGGAAGAACUCAGGAAAACAAAAGUAUGUGUAACUUAACUAUCUUAAAGUGGGUGCAAAUUGUUAAAGCGUUUUGCUCUUACAUUUUAUUUCUUUUUCUCUAUUCUAAUUCACUCGGAGUAAAUUCACAUCUAUAUCAUAACUAUUUUUUUCUAAGUAUUGAUUCUGUCCUGAACUGUUUCUAAAAUUGAUUUCAGUGCUGCAAUUUCUUUAAUAUUCUUUCCCGAUACCCUUCCAUCUUUUCAACCAAGUCUGCCUCCCACUUCAGUGCCCUUUCCUAGGACCUACAGUGGACACUACUGUACCGUGGGACCAGCACUCUUUUCCAUGAAUUGCCUACUCCUUCGUGGGAUUGCGUUAUGGGUUGUUGGUUGGGUUGUGCCAGAUCCAAGGUGGAAGAAAAACAGUCCCCUUUAACCUUGAAAGUAAGAGAAAGAGUCAGCAGUCAGGCUCUCCCUGGGUAUGUGGACUUGUAAAAUGUUAAGCCUGAAUCUUCUGGUAGCCCUUUUAAUGCCAUAUGGACCAGUCUGUAAUGAGAAUGUGGAGUGGAACAGGUGCACCCAGAGGAGCAGAUAGCAGAGGGAAGGGAGAGCCUCCAUUGUUUUCAGCCAGGUCAUCCUGGCUGCUCAGAGCCAUCACAGACCUUAUGUCAACGAGCUAUCCAACAUUCUUUCUGCCUGUCAACCCUGUUUUUGGCUACUUGGAACAAAAAGAAUUGUUACUCAACACGUUGUCUUAUAUUUCCAAUAAUUAUUUUUCGCUGACUGUUGAGAACACAACACAGAUUCUUUAAAUAUUUAGUUCUGAUUCCUUUAGUCAAUCUUUCCUAUAAGUGUGUCCUAUUCCUCUCUGCCUUGAGUACUGUAUUUUCCACUGUUCUACUAGAGAAAUGUUUAAUAAUCUCCAGGGAGGUUUUUUUUCUAUUUUGCUGUAAUGCAUUCUUGAAGAAAAAUAAAUCUCUCCAGUUGUGGGUGGAUUCUCUUUGAUUCCUUUUACUUCAGUGCUGUUUGAUGUAUGCAUCCCGUAAUCAAUUAUCUGAAGGCUUAUAGCCCUCUUACCAUGUGACUCAGCUGGCUUGUGUAGGAAUCUCCUGGUCAUCUUACUGUGAGUGGUAGAGCUCACUCUGGUUACUCUGAAACAGCGUCACAUCUUCUCUUGCCAGAAUCAGCAAAUCACAAAAUCCAUAAUCCCCACAUGAGCCGCUCUCAGCUCUCCCAGGCUCAGCUGUUCCUGCAACUGAGUUCCUAUCUUGGAAUGUCAAGUGCCACUCCCUGUCCAGUCUACCUCCUGCAUCACUGGAGAUUAUAGUUCUAAGGAUAAAGUUCAUGUCAGGGUGUGCUUGUUUGUAACACAUUGCUACAGCUUAUAAAAAGCACGGGUCCCUUGUAUCAGAGACCACAGCUAUUAAAACAAGCAGUGGCAAAUAUAAAGAUAUUUGGACAGUACAGGAGAUACAUAGUGUUAGGAAAGUAUAGAACUUACAUAAAGAAAAUAAGUUGCCUCUAGAGCAUUAACCUCUGGGCCCCUGAGUAUUCCAAGGUUAGUUUUUUUAGAGAAAUAAUUUUUAAAGUGGCUGUAGAUUGAUCGAGGAGAUUGGAUAGAAGGUUAUAGAGAGAACCAAGGAAAAGGUCCUUCAACCUCCUGUUCGUGAUGUGGGCUUUCUCUACUGCUGUCAUCCUCUCUUAUCAAACUGUGUUGCCAGAACGGGCAAGGGCCACAGCCAUGGAAGAGGGGCUACCAAAUGGAACUCCAACCUAAGGGCUGGGACCAGGAUCUACCCAUCCCCAUCAAGCGAGGAUUGAUACUAACUACAGCCACUCCUGCGGGGGCCCAGGGCCUCAUUAUCCUAGGGGAAGAGGAGAUGGAGGUGAGAGGAAGAGGAUGGAUGAAUGUGGAAGGCCUUCUGCAGCUUAGCAUGCAAUGGUCAUUUCCUGUAUGCAAGGUCUUCUGCUAUGUUCUGUGCAGGAAAUCAAGAAUGAGAAACAAUUUUGGCCCUAGAGGCCUUACAAAUAUAUCUUCCUAAUUACAAGGUUAUAGUCCUUUGGGAAUUGCAAGUUCCCUUGAAAAUUCACACAAUCCUAACAUGUGUUGUGCCUAGUUUGAUGUGUUCUUAAACUAUUACUAGCUAACACUUCUUACUGCAGAAUUUCUGUGGAAAUGAGACAUAGGUAUUUCUACAGGAUAAAUGAGACGAGUGAAAAGAGGUGUUGAAAAGGAAAACGAAAGGAUGAAACAGAUACAAUUCCUACUUCGCUGUUUUUCAAAGUGCUUAUAGUGAGUGCUCUCCGUUUCUCACCCGAAGGGGAGAAACUUCCUUGGCCUUUUUCUUCAAGUAAAUAGAUUAAAUCUCUCUUAUUGCUAUUGCUAUUUGACCUUUUUCAUGAAGCAUAGCAAAGAGUUUUUCAUAAUCCUAAUAUAUACUUAUGGUUUGUGACUAAUGAAAAGAAUUAUUUCCAUCCUCUAAAUUAAUAGGCUUGCCUCCCUGCCCAGUAAGUUGUUCCUUCCUAUACAGCAUUCAGUAAAAUAUUUGCUGAGUAACUAAAAUGUCCAAGACACCUAUUUCAGCAAUAUAUGAACUAGAAACAAAACAAUAACUACAAACAUGACUUAUCUCUUCAAGGAAAGGAGUCAAUAUUCUUGUACGGAAAAAGGAUCGUAGAAAAAUACCUAAUAGCAUAGUGUGACAGAAAUUGCGUGGAAAUUACUACAAGGCAGCAAGUGAGAUAGACCCUAAGCUGAGCAGACAAUAAGGGUAUGGCAAUCCUAAAUCUACAUGGUGUGGUGAUUAAGUCCUGCGUCCAUGGAGUCAGAAAGAGCUGGGUCCUGACUCUACUUAUUAACUGUGCAACCUUGAAUAAGUCACUUAUACCAUGAGCUCCAAGUAUCUCAUCCUUAAAAUAGAUACAUUUCAGCACCUUAUUGAAUUUCUUCAGGCUAGGCUCUAGGGAUACAACGGUGAUCAUGACAGUUAUGGUCUCAGGCCUUAUUCAAUAAACAGCAAAGAAUCCAAAUUGGGAUAAGUAUUCUGAAAGGGAGAUAUGGGAAUGAAAACGAAAAGUAAACCAAAAAGUAAAACCUUUCUGAGACCAGUGAUUUUGACAGACACUGGAUUAUAGAGGACCUGAUAAACGACAAUAAGGAUUUUAAACUUUAACCUAAGCAGGAGAAGAAUUGAUUGAAGGGGUUUAAAUACACUUCCUUUACAGAAGUCUUGCGACUGUUACAUGAGAAAUUGGUAUGUAACAUUUUUAGUGCCUUCCUGAUAAAGCCUUUGCACUUCUAACUACUGCGUGAGUUACUCUACAGGGAAUAUAGCUAAACCCGGGUUAUUUGGACACCACAAAUUCCUUUCUUAACAUUUUUGUUUAACAUCUUUGUUCAAUAUUAAUUUAGGGAGAAAGUAAAGAAACUAAUUUUAUAUUACUAAAAUCAUAUACUUCUUUAAAUUGCAAAGAAGGGCUGUAUCCCUUACAUUGAUCAUAACAUUCUAAUUUACUUGGAAUAGUCUGUUCAUUAUUUUCUUUAUUCAUAAUUGGAUAUUGUCAGAGCUAAAACUAUACCUAGAGGUAAAUCAUGUAACUAUGACACAAAACAUUGUUUUUUGUUUGUUUUGGAGACAGUCUCACUCUGUUACCCAGGCUUGAGUGCAGUGGCGCAAUCGUGGCUCACUGGAAACUUCGCCUUCUGAGUUCAAGCGCCUUCUGCCUCAGCCUCCUGAGUAGCUGAGAUUGCAAGGAUGCACCAUGAUGCCCGGAUAACUUUUUGUAUUUUUAGUAGAGACGAGGUUUCAUCAUGUUGGCCAGGCUGCUCUCGAACUCUUGACCUCAAGUGAUCCACCUGCCUUGGCCUUCCAAAGUACUGGGAUUAUAGGCAUGAGCCACCAUGCCCCGCUGCAAAGCAUUGUUUUAAAUAAGAUGUUUUUCUCACUUUGUAUUAGCAAAACGUUUUCUACCUUUUUAUGAUUUUUUUCACUUUCAUUUGUGAUCUCCUACACUAACUUUCUUGAGUGGUAUAUAGUUGGGAGAUAUUAAAUAUAGAUUUUUAAAAUUACCUUUUUUUUCAGGUAAAAAAGCGCUAUUCUAUGUGUUACGUAUUUUCCUAAUUUCAACGUCCUGUGACUGCCCACUUCAGGCAGUUGUCAGAUCUCAGGGUUGAUGAGAGCCCUGCAGUUGCGUUGGGGAAAUUGUGUAUCAGAAAAUGCUCCUUGCUAGAGAUUGGGGCCAGUGAAAAUAGCCCAUCUUUCUUUCUUCCUUCCUUCUCUCCUUUGUUCCUCUGUCAUUUCUUUUUUUUUUUUCUUUUCUUUUUUGAAUCAAGGGCCCAUUCUUCAGGAGAAGUGGUACUAAUUCACAUCUCACUCAUAGAAGGAGUUACAUGUGAAAACCUGAGGUAUCUAGUAGUAUAUUUCUGAUUCCCUCUAUGGAUGCUUAAAAUGCCUUAUAGCUGUGUUUCCCAGACAGGUGCCUGAACGACCCACCCCUGGAUUUAACUCUGAUGGGAAUACAUGUGAAACAUUACUUUAAAACAUAUAUGCAAUUUUUAAGAAACAUGUAAGACACCUCCUCACUCCUACUCACCCUUGAAAUAGUACCCAUUCUUCUCUGAUAAAAGGGACACCUUAGUAGAAAAGUUUUACAAGUUCUGAUGAUACCAGUACUUAAUAAAUGGCCAUAUUAUUAUUAUUAUUAUAAGGAAAGACAAAGAGGAGAUUGAGAGGCUUUGAAGCUUCAGAAGGAGAUUGAACUACACUUUGUAGGCGGGUAGGACAGAUGAAUGGAGAAGAGAGACAGAGUUCUAGACAGAGGACAUGGUGAGAAAAUGUAUGGCAUCAGUCUGCUCAUAGUGAGUUGAAGGGAUCUGGAUAGGACAGGUGGGGUAGAGCAGGUAGAAAAUAGCUUUGUGAUUCAGAGAGAAAAAAUUAUGCUACAGUGUGACAAUGUAAACUCUAGGGUUAAAAAAGAGAGAGAACAUCUUUGAUUCAACAACUUUCUUCACUUUCCGAGGCACAAAAUAAGUUUCAACGAUUAUGAGUAUGAAAAAGUAGCCUCAGAGAUAUAAUCAAAUCCAAUAAAUAAUAUAUAAAUGAAUAUAAUAAAUACAUUUUCCCUCACAGACUCUGAUAAAGAAAGCAGUUAAUAAAUACAGAUGUGUGCUGCUACUGCGUACUGAGAAAGCUUCCAUCCAACCAGAGAAAACAAAUCUGAAGUUAGGUCCCCUUCAGUGAAAAUGCAUGACUGUGAACUUCUUCAUAAUCCAGGAAGGGAGAAAGUACAUACAUUAGUCAAGGCAGUGCACUGUACUGCAUUGUGUAGUCUAUUAAAUAAUAACAUAUAUGAAAUGAAUGGAUCGGCUAUUCAAUGAUAUGUUCACUUACGGAGUAUCAGGUCAACCUGAAAGAAACUAAUAUAACCCCAAAGUUAAAAGGAAGAUACUAUUGUAGUAAAAACUUGAAGCCUCUUAACAUAUCUGUUAAAAGAAAACAAUAAGCAUUAAGUUUAAUAAGCUUAAUAGACUUAACCGAAACUAGCACAAAGGCAGUUCAGUGUUAAGAGUAGGAACUGCCAAAUCACUGCCAUUUGCCCACUUUUCUUCUGGCUUCAAAUAUGAAAUCAAUUAUGUUAAUUUUUUGAAUACGUUGGAACAUUCCAAAAUUUUAUUAUAAUUAUAUAGAAUAUUAGAUAAAACAUUUCCUGUAUUUCCUCCAAAAUGCUAGAAAAGGAGUUGUAUGGUAGAUAAUUCUUAACUGACUUUGCUCUUAUCCAUUCCUACUUAGAGAUUUUUCCCGUAUUUGUGAUAAAUGUGCAGGAUUUUUGUAUGUGAAGUUUCAGUAGAAAACAUUUGUCUUAUAUGUUCUUAGUUUAUACAUCUUUGGGAAAGCCAGUCAAAAGAAACAUGAGAGCUAUUUUUAGGUGCUUUCCCUACAUUUUUAUUGCCUUUUAAUGAAAGAGAUCUUUGGGUUUUUGGGGAGGAGAUGAUAAAUAGUAGGGAGUGUGAAGUUUAAAAGAACAUAUAUCUUGGCUAUAAAUUCCAUAAUGUGAAUACAACCUCUUUUGUUUAGAUCUCUUAAUUUUUUCUCCCAGCAAUGUACAGUCUGUUUGGGAAUCAUUCACAUACUUAAGCUGUAUUUACAUAUAAGAAUCAUGCUUUGGUGAAGUAGGUGAUAAAGGCAUGGGAAUCUUCCAGAAUGUAAAGAGAAAAAAAAAUCAAAUAAUUAGGAGUAAAAAAAAACACUCCAAACUUAAAAAACAUUCACUCAUAUUUAGAUUGAGAGAAAACUCAAAAUGCUGAGCACAUUCAUCCUGAUGAAAUUUCGUAAUUAAAAAAAGGAAAAAAUUAGACAAGCCUCCAAAAAGAGAGAAUGGAA